AACGAACGCUGGCGGCACGUUUUAAGCAUGCAAGUCGAAUGGCAGUGGGGGCAACCCCAUGAGAAUGGCGAACGGGUGAGUAACACGUAGGUGAUCCGCCUGACGGAUGGGGAUAGCUCGUGGAAACACAGGGUAAUACCGAAUGAGCUGACGAGACUUUGGUUUUGUUAGUAAAGGUGCUCCGGCACCGCCGACAGAGGAGCCUGCGGCUGAUUAGCUAGUUGGGGGGGUAAAGGCCUACCACGGCGACGAUCAGUAGCCGGCCUGAGAGGGUGUACGGCGAAACUGGGACUGAGACACGGUCCGAACGCCUACGGGAGGCAGCAGCUAAGAAGCUUCCGCAAUGGGCGAAAGCCUGAUGGAGCGAUGCCGCGGGAUCGAUGAAGGUCGAGGGAUUGUAAAGAUCUGUUGUGCGGGAGGAAUAAGGCUGGGAGGGAAUGCCUGAAUGAUGACGGUAGUGUAGGAGUAAGCCCCGGCUAAUUACGUGCCAGCAGCCGCGGUAA
This 503-nucleotide ribosomal RNA is filed under the name uncultured bacterium. RNAcentral's name for it is "partial 16S ribosomal RNA". It matches the Rfam family "Bacterial small subunit ribosomal RNA", at positions 29 to 523 of the family's 1533-position model. The record is from RNAcentral.